RNAcentral lists this ribosomal RNA (521 nucleotides) under Blastocystis sp. subtype 3. RNAcentral describes it as "SSU rRNA". It matches the Rfam family "Eukaryotic small subunit ribosomal RNA", at positions 502 to 1029 of the family's 1831-position model. Lineage: Eukaryota; Bigyra; Opalinata; Blastocystidae. The record is from RNAcentral.
UUUUGCAUUGGAUUGAGAACAACGUACAAACCUUAUCGAUAAACAAUUGGAGGGCAAGUCUGGUGCCAGCAGCCGCGGUAAUUCCAGCUCCAAUAGCGUAUAUUAACGUUGUUGCAGUUAAAAAGCUCGUAGUUGAAAUGAAGGGUGGUUGUGUAAUGAAUACAUUCGUGUAUUUUGUUAUUCUACUACCCUCCUUCUAAAUUCGAUAUAUGAGUAUUAAUUUACUUGUAUAUGGUUUUAGACCUUUACUGUGAGAAAAUUAGAGUGUUCAAAGCAGGCAUUUGCUUGAAUAUAUUAGCAUGGAAUAAUCAUGUAUGAUUUUCAUGAUGUAUUUGAUUGGUUUGGUUCAUGAGAAUAAGAUUAAAAGGGACAGUUGGGGGUAUUCAUAUUCAAUAGUCAGAGGUGAAAUUCUCGGAUUUAUGGAAGAUGAACAAGUGCGAAAGCAUUUACCAAGGAUGUUUUCAUUAAUCAAGAACGAAAGUUAGGGGAUCGAAGAGGAUUAGAUACCCUCGUAGUCUUAA